UUCCCUGGAAAGGGGCGCCAGAG
This 23-nucleotide small nuclear RNA is filed under the name Arabidopsis thaliana (thale cress). RNAcentral describes it as "snRNA_17030". Lineage: Eukaryota; Viridiplantae; Streptophyta; Magnoliopsida; Brassicales; Brassicaceae. The record is from RNAcentral.